Molecule: ribosomal RNA, 387 nt
Filed under: uncultured bacterium
Lineage: Bacteria
Description: bacterial SSU rRNA
Rfam family: Bacterial small subunit ribosomal RNA
Source: RNAcentral
AUUGAACGCUGGCGGCAUGCCUUACACAUGCAAGUCGAACGGUAACAGCACUUCGGUGGCUGACGAGUGGCGAACGGGUGAGUAAUACAUCGGAACGUGCCCGAGAGUGGGGGAUAACGCAGCGAAAGCUGUGCUAAUACCGCAUACGAUCUACGGAUGAAAGCAGGGGAUUCGCAAGGACCUUGCGCUCAUGGAGCGGCCGAUGGCAGAUUAGGUAGUUGGUGGGAUAAAAGCUUACCAAGCCGACGAUCUGUAGCUGGUCUGAGAGGACGACCAGCCACACUGGGACUGAGACACGGCCCAGACUCCUACGGGAGGCAGCAGUGGGGAAUUUUGGACAAUGGGCGAAAGCCUGAUCCAGCCAUGCCGCGUGGGUGAAGAAGGCCU